This 195-nucleotide ribosomal RNA is filed under the name uncultured bacterium. RNAcentral's name for it is "partial 16S ribosomal RNA". It matches the Rfam family "Bacterial small subunit ribosomal RNA", at positions 338 to 525 of the family's 1533-position model. RNAcentral also lists the same sequence under 1 other name. The record is from RNAcentral.
UCUACGGGAGGCAGCAGUGGGGAAUAUUGCACAAUGGGCGCAAGCCUGAUGCAGCCAUGCCGCGUGUAUGAAGAAGGCCUUCGGGUUGUAAAGUACUUUCAGCGGGGAGGAAGGCGAUGAGGUUAAUAACCGCGUCGAUUGACGUUACCCGCAGAAGAAGCACCGGCUAACUCCGUGCCAGCAGCCGCGGUAAUA